This is a long non-coding RNA of Hippocampus comes (tiger tail seahorse), 498 nucleotides long. RefSeq lists it as uncharacterized. The record is from RefSeq and is a predicted model, not a curated record. The transcript is spliced from 2 exons. NCBI's taxonomy places the organism in Eukaryota, Metazoa, Chordata, Actinopteri, Syngnathiformes, Syngnathidae.
AGGCUCCAGCACCCCCCGCGACCCUUGUGAGGAUAAAGCCGAUCGGAAAAUGGAUGGAUGGAAAUUGAUAUUGUAUUGUGCGUGCUCAUAUCAACCUCAUAUAACCACGUAAUCAAUCAGACAAUGCCAAGAAAUUGCAAAAGUUUAGCAUCAUAGCAAUAAGCAUAAGUGGCAAAGUCAGGCAAGCGUUCCUUUGUGUUGAAAGUGACUGUCUCUGUCUAUCCUCACCUCUCUUAUACAUCAUGGUGGACCCUUUCGUGCCUGUAUGGGAAACCAGAUUGGGGCUUGGUGCAAGAAGCGAAUGCAGCAGGUUUUAUCUUGACACUUCGCUCUGUUCCUUUUACACAGGCCAGCAGGAAGGAACGAUAGAGAGAAAAAAAAGUGAGAAAAGAUUGGAGAGAGGAAAAGAGAUGGCAUGAGGUAAAAGAGAGAAAGACAAGGGACCAAAAGACCAAAAGAACGCGGUGAAAUGAAAGCACAAUAUGGUGAGACAGGGGG